RNAcentral lists this non-coding RNA (24 nucleotides) under Mus musculus (house mouse). The record is from RNAcentral. Lineage: Eukaryota; Metazoa; Chordata; Mammalia; Rodentia; Muridae. RNAcentral also lists the same sequence under 1 other name.
UAUUGAGGGCCUACUAUGUGCCGG